UGGUGUAGCAAUACAUUGCUGGGGGAAGUGGCGAAAGGGGCAGUAAGGCGUGGGUAACCUACCCCGGGGACGUGGAUAGCCAUUCUAACGAGUGGGUAAUACGCGGCGAUUCGGCGUGGUGGCAUCAUCGUGCCGGGAAAUGAAUUUCGCCUCGGGAGGGGCUCACGUGAUAUUAGCUAGUUGGCGGGGUAAUGGCCCACUAAGGCUGAGAUGUCUAGCGGGUGUGAGAGCACGACCCGCGCCACUGGCACUGAGACACUGGCCAGACACCUACGGGUGGCUGCAGUCGAGGAUCUUUGGCAAUGGGCGCAAGCCUGACCAAGCGACGCCGCGUGUGCGAUGAAGGCCUUCGGGUUGUAAAGCACUGUCGAGGGGGAUAAAGCCCGCAAGGGUUGAUUGAUCCCUGGAGGAAGCACGGGCUAAGUUCGUGCCAGCAGCCGCGGUAAGACGAACCGUGCGAACGUUGUUCGGAAUCACUGGGCUUAAAGGGCGCGUAGGCGGCUGCUCAAGUCCGGGGUGAAAGCCCCCAGCUUAACUGGGGAAGUGCCUUGGAUACUGAGCGGCUCGAGGGAGAUAGGGGUCGAGGGAACUUCUGGUGGAGCGGUGAAAUGCGUUGAUAUCAGAAGGAACGCCGGUGGCGAAAGCGCUCGACUGGAUCUCUACUGACGCUGAGGCGCGAAAGCCAGGGGAGCAAACGGGAUUAGAUACCCCGGUAGUCCUGGCCCUAAACGAUGAGUACUAGCUUGUGGACUAGUCAUGGGUUCACAGGC
This 770-nucleotide ribosomal RNA is filed under the name uncultured Planctomycetota bacterium. RNAcentral's name for it is "bacterial SSU rRNA". It matches the Rfam family "Bacterial small subunit ribosomal RNA", at positions 70 to 847 of the family's 1533-position model. Lineage: Bacteria; Pseudomonadati; Planctomycetota. The record is from RNAcentral.